UUGAGCAGCUCUAUCACCCUUUAGCUCACAGCUGGCAGCCCACUGAAGUUAAGCAAGUGUGAGCCUGGCCAGUACCUGGAUGGGAGACCUCCUUGGAGAAGCUCAGGUUGCUGCUGUGU
RNAcentral lists this ribosomal RNA (119 nucleotides) under Lepisosteus oculatus (spotted gar). The record is from RNAcentral. Lineage: Eukaryota; Metazoa; Chordata; Actinopteri; Semionotiformes; Lepisosteidae.